Molecule: long non-coding RNA, 652 nt
Organism: Patella vulgata (common limpet)
Lineage: Eukaryota; Metazoa; Mollusca; Gastropoda; Patellidae
Exons: 4
Source: RefSeq, a predicted model, not a curated record
GGUAAAGAUUCGCCAGUUAAAGAUUUAACAUGUUCCUGUGAUUUAACCCAAAAAAUGUAUAUGACAAUCCAAUACAUCUACCUGAGUAGUGAAUCGUGUACCGGACUAACAGUAACGGGUGACGACAAACCUUUAUAUAAAUGCCGCGAUGAUGGUGUAUUUAUUCCACGCCAAAAUGCUACGAAAAUUAAAAAAAAGUAUAAGAUUGUGUUUAACAACAUGACCCCCAGCUAUGAUGAUUUAAUCUGGAUUGACUUUCACGAUCCGGGCAAACAAUUGAAAGCGUCUUGUGAUUGUGAUAAAGCAGUGAUAGAUGGUGCUUGGAGUAAUUGGUCUGAAUAUAGUUUCUGCUCUGUUUCAUGCGGUAGAGGUGUCAAGACCAGGAAAAGGAGGUGUGACUAUCCAGCACCAGCUAAUGGUGGAGCAAACUGUUCUGGUAUUCCUACACAGACCGAGGAGUGUGUUCAACUACAGGAGUGCAUUGUGAUGGGUGGUGGAUGGGGUAAUUGGUCUAAAUACAGUGCCUGCUCUGUUUCGUGUGGUGGGGGCAGCAAGACCAGGACAUUGAAGUGUGAUAGUCCCACACCGACUGGUAAAACUAAUUGCCCUGUUAUUAUCACACAGAUCAAGGAGUGUAAUCAACUGAAAGAGU